This 253-nucleotide ribosomal RNA is filed under the name uncultured bacterium. RNAcentral's name for it is "partial 16S ribosomal RNA". It matches the Rfam family "Bacterial small subunit ribosomal RNA", at positions 524 to 776 of the family's 1533-position model. The record is from RNAcentral.
UACAGAGGUCCCGAGCGUUGUUCGGAUUCACUGGGCGUAAAGGGUGCGUAGGUGGUGAGGAAAGUCGGAUGUGAAAUCUCCAAGCUCAACUUGGAAAUGGCAUUGGAAACUACCUUGCUGGAGGUUUGGAGGGGGGACUGGAAUACUUGGUGUAGCAGUGAAAUGCGUAGAUAUCAAGUGGAACACCAGUGGCGAAGGCGAGUCCCUGGACAACUCCUGACACUGAGGCACGAAAGCUAGGGGAGCAAACAGG